GGCAUUACACAGCCCUGGCAUUGAUCAUAACACCCGUCCCAGAGCAUGAAACCCCUGGAAACCAGCAUGGAUCCCAGAGCAUGUAACCCCUGGCAACCAGCAUGACACCCAGCGCAUGAAACCCUUGGCAACGAGGAUGUAAUUUAAAAGUCUAAGUGGAAUCCAUUAACUGAUUCUGGAUUAUACAGAGAAGCUGCCCCCCACCGAGAAUUUAAAAAAAAAAAAAUGUGUUCAUGUAUUGUUUUAUAUAGUGUGUGUUCACAUUACAUAAAAAUAGUUUCUGAACUGG
Molecule: long non-coding RNA, 289 nt
Organism: Pseudophryne corroboree (corroboree frog)
Lineage: Eukaryota; Metazoa; Chordata; Amphibia; Anura; Myobatrachidae
Exons: 2
Source: RefSeq, a predicted model, not a curated record